CUGCAAGAUCAUGGAAAGAUCUUGCAAGAUCUUUCCAAGUUCUUGCAGGAUCUUACCUAAGAUCUUGCAGGAUCUUGCAAGAUCUUUCCAUGUUCUUGCAGGAUCUUACCUAAGAUCUUGCAAGAUCUUGCCAUUAUCAUGGCAAGAUCUUGCAGGAUUUGUACCAAGAUCAUGCCAAGAUCUUACAUAAAUCCUGCAAGAUCAUGGAAAGAUCUUGCAUGAUCUUGCAAGAUCUUUCCAAGUUCUUGCAGGAUCUUACCUAAGAUCUUGCAGGAUCUUG
Paramuricea clavata is the source of this 280-nucleotide non-coding RNA. Lineage: Eukaryota; Metazoa; Cnidaria; Anthozoa; Malacalcyonacea; Plexauridae. The record is from the annotation of a GenBank genome assembly.